This 508-nucleotide ribosomal RNA is filed under the name uncultured bacterium. RNAcentral's name for it is "bacterial SSU rRNA". It matches the Rfam family "Bacterial small subunit ribosomal RNA", at positions 19 to 518 of the family's 1533-position model. The record is from RNAcentral.
AUGGCUCAGGAUGAACGCUAGCUACAGGCUAACACAUGCAAGUCGCGGGGCAGCAUGGUCUUAGCUUGCUAAGACUGAUGGCGACCGGCGCACGGGUGAGUAACGCGUAUCCAACCUUCCCCUUAGUAGGGCAUAGCCCGGCGAAAGUCGGAUUAAUACCCUAUGUUCUUCGUAGAUGGCAUCUGAGACGAAGCAAAGGUUAGCGCUAAGGGAUGGGGAUGCGUCUGAUUAGGCAGUCGGCGGGGUAACGGCCCACCGAGCCUUCGAUCAGUAGGGGUUCUGAGAGGAAGGUCCCCCACAUUGGAACUGAGACACGGUCCAAACUCCUACGGGAGGCAGCAGUGAGGAAUAUUGGUCAAUGGGCGAGAGCCUGAACCAGCCAAGUAGCGUGCAGGACGACGGCCCUACGGGUUGUAAACUGCUUUUAUGCGGGGAUAAAGUGCCCUACGUGUAGGGUAUUGCAGGUACCGCAUGAAUAAGGACCGGCUAAUUCCGUGCCAGCAGCAGC